UACGUAGGGUGCGAGCGUUAAUCGGAAUUACUGGGCGUAAAGCGUGCGCAGGCGGUAAGUUAAGUCUGAUGUGAAAGCCCCGGGCUCAACCUGGGAACGGCAUUGGAAACUGGCUUGCUGGAGUGUGGCAGAGGGGGGUGGAAUUCCGCGUGUAGCAGUGAAAUGCGUAGAGAUGCGGAGGAACACCGAUGGCGAAGGCAAUCCCCUGGGCCUGCACUGACGCUCAUGCACGAAAGCGUGGGGAGCAAACAGG
Molecule: ribosomal RNA, 253 nt
Filed under: uncultured bacterium
Lineage: Bacteria
Description: partial 16S ribosomal RNA
Rfam family: Bacterial small subunit ribosomal RNA
Source: RNAcentral